UCCCUAGUGGCUCAGAAGGUAAGCAUCUGUCUGCAAUGCAGGAGAACUGGGUUCGAUCCCUGGGUUGGGAA
This 71-nucleotide transfer RNA is filed under the name Bos taurus (domestic cattle). It matches the Rfam family "tRNA". Rfam says of the family: Transfer RNA (tRNA) molecules are approximately 80 nucleotides in length. Their secondary structure includes four short double-helical elements and three loops (D, anti-codon, and T loops). Further hydrogen bonds mediate the characteristic L-shaped molecular structure. tRNAs have two regions of fundamental functional importance: the anti-codon, which is responsible for specific mRNA codon recognition, and the 3' end, to which the tRNAs corresponding amino acid is attached (by aminoacyl-tRNA synthetases). tRNAs cope with the degeneracy of the genetic code in two manners: having more than one tRNA (with a specific anti-codon) for a particular amino acid; and 'wobble' base-pairing, i.e. permitting non-standard base-pairing at the 3rd anti-codon position. The record is from Rfam by way of RNAcentral. RNAcentral also lists the same sequence under 2 other names. Lineage: Eukaryota; Metazoa; Chordata; Mammalia; Artiodactyla; Bovidae.